GGGACACGUGGUAUCCUGUCUGAAUAUGGGGGGACCAUCCUCCAAGGCUAAAUACUCCUGACUGACCGAUAGUGAACCAGUACCGUGAGGGAAAGGCGAAAAGAACCCCGGCGAGGGGAGUGAAAAAGAACCUGAAACCGUGUACGUACAAGCAGUGGGAGCCUCUUAAUGGGGUGACUGCGUACCUUUUGUAUAAUGGGUCAGCGACUUAUAUUCUGUAGCAAGGUUAACCGAAUAGGGGAGCCGAAGGGAAACCGAGUCUUAACUGGGCGUUAAGUUGCAGGGUAUAGACCCGAAACCCGGUGAUCUAGCCAUGGGCAGGUUGAAGGUUGGGUAACACUAACUGGAGGACCGAACCGACUAAUGUUGAAAAAUUAGCGGAUGACUUGUGGCUGGGGGUGAAAGGCCAAUCAAACCGGGAGAUAGCUGGUUCUCCCCGAAAGCUAUUUAGGUAGCGCCUCGUGAAUUCAUCUCCGGGGGUAGAGCACUGUUUCGGCAAGGGGGUCAUCCCGACUUACCAACCCGAUGCAAACUGCGAAUACCGGAGAAUGUUAUCACGGGAGACACACGGCGGGUGCUAACGUCCGUCGUGAAGAGGGAAACAACCCAGACCGCCAGCUAAGGUCCCAAAGUCAUGGUUAAGUGGGAAACGAUGUGGGAAGGCCCAGACAGCCAGGAUGUUGGCUUAGAAGCAGCCAUCAUUUAAAGAAAGCGUAAUAGCUCACUGGUCGAGUCGGCCUGCGCGGAAGAUGUAACGGGGCUAAACC
RNAcentral lists this ribosomal RNA (767 nucleotides) under Escherichia coli. Its description in RNAcentral is "partial 23S ribosomal RNA". It matches the Rfam family "Bacterial large subunit ribosomal RNA", at positions 419 to 1188 of the family's 2925-position model. The record is from RNAcentral. Lineage: Bacteria; Pseudomonadati; Pseudomonadota; Gammaproteobacteria; Enterobacterales; Enterobacteriaceae.